UUUGGACUUUGAAAAAGGGAGCGAGAGGAAGGGAGAACUGAUGAGUAACGGUGAGGGGGAGGAUAAGAAAGGCGCGAGACUUUAGGAAACCAGGGGUGAGGGGAAAUGGUUAAAGGGUGUAAGAUGGUGGUGGGUAGGUACAGAGGACGAGGGGAGGACCCACCAGCACCACUCGCUCUCCCUCCCCUCACAAUUGGCAGUAACAAGGGGAAUGAGGGUUGGCGACACAUAAAUGGCGCCACAGGCUGCUUUAGGGGCCAGUAGUCAGCAGCAGGGGCUUGGGGCGAGCUGCCCUCCGUCGCAUACCUCUUCCUCCUCCGUCAGGAGGGCAGCAACACUACAAGGAAUGGAACAACGAAGAUAAGAUACCUUGCUCCGGGUGUUUCUCAGUAACAGCAUCAACAGGAGGUGAAGACAUGGUCCCUUGCUCCGGGUGUUCCUCCUGUUACCUCCUCCGCUUCGGCCAGGUGAAGGGAAGAGCAAGUAACACCGUAAGAAGGAAGAGACAAUUAAGGAGGAAGAGUACUUGGCGAAGCAUCUUGUAAAUGUAAUCAAUCUCUCAAGACGUCCAGGACGAUGGCUCGAGCAUCCUAAGUGUGCUGGCGACCAAACUUCUUUCACUCGUCCUUCAUCCUUUCCCUUUGCUGUUCCUCUGAUCCCUGACUCCCUCGCUAAUACAACUAUAUCAACUGCUGCAACACUACAAGUCCAUCUCACAAGUAUAUUCAACUGCUCCUGCUGUCAUUCGUUGUUGUUGUCUUCUGGUAGAGGCAAAACAAGAUUUCUUCUCGUGCCAGAAACGCAGGAAAAGUAUCAAUAUCAUCACCAAAGUUUCCAGAGAGAAAGGUAUCGAAAGAGCCUGGACCUGGUGUCCUCGCGUCCUUAUCAUCAGACGUUUAAGGAAGAAAACACGCCAAGCUGCCCUCGACCCACAACCUUCACCUGACGGGAGCGGCUGUGCGAGAGAAAGACGUAGGUGUUGAAGGGCACGCCAACAUACUAUUCAACCUCCUUGCUGGGAAAUCAGUGCUCGGCAGCGCCUUCUGCAGGCGUCAAGUGGUGAAGAAACUACCAUUCAAAGAAUACGAGGACGAAGUGAAGAGGAAUCAACCAAGACGCCCCAGUGGAAAACUGAACUAUUACACGUUGCUAAGGAACAAAAGAGAAGCAGGUUCGGGAGAACGUCAGGUAAUAAUUGUUGAGGUAUUAAGUGAAAACGAGCAGAUAAAAACAAACUGGAACGGUGGUCAAGCGGCAGAGAAUUAGUACAGGACGACGACGACCCCACGAUGAGAAGAUGGCGGUGAGGACGAGAGAAGCAGCAGGAAACGGGAGAGGCGAGAGACGAGGGAGGCGGUGUAAUGGAAGGAAUGACAACUAUGCUGCUCAUGUACAGAGCUGCGUCACCUGACGUCACGAGGUACCUGAUGAAUGACGUCACGAGACACCUGAUGAAUGACGUCACAAGACACCUGAUGAAUGACUUCACGAGACACCUGAUGAACGACGUCACGAGAUACCUGAUGAAUAAUGCCACACCACACCUGAUGAAUGACGUCACGCCCCAGCUGAUGAAUGACGUCACGCCACAGCUGAUGAAUGACGUCACGAGACAGCUGACACUCACGUCAGAGAUCACAUGGUAAAGUGGCAGUAAGUUCGUAGAGGAUCAAACGUGAAGAAAAACUGAAGAAACAAUAAUUCUUUCUUCUACAAACAAACCAUACACAUAGGUAAUAACGUUACCACCCAGCAUCUUAAGAUAGUACACGAAAACUAUGGAAGUAAAUACUUAGCUUCUUACGAAAUAACCUACAUGCAGUAACUAGUUUCUAAUCAUAUCAAACUAGUAUUUUCUAUGUUAUAAUCCUAUCAAACUAGCAGUCGACAGCUUCUAAUCCUGUCAAACUAGCAGUCGUUAGGUUCUAAGCCUGCCAAACUAGCAGUCGCUAGGUUCUAAUCCUAUCAAACUAGCAGUCGACAGGUUCUAAUCCUAUUAAACUUGCUAGAAAAUACUGCAGUUGAACUCAUGCGGUACUGAGCGACUCUUCACUAAGGAAUCAUUCCAGCCAGUGUCUUGCUGCCUUUUUAUGAUUAAGUUUAAUUCAAUUUUUUAAUCUGAAAAAAAUCUUGACUACAUUUUCCUUAUAUUAGUAACAUUUGAUUUAAACUACCACUAUUAUUAUCAAAACUAAUCGCUAAACCAACAAUGGUUAAACUACCUAUAACUCUUUUACUAAGAUGUGAACGUAUUAUAAUUCCUUUCUUUUAUAUAUGGCAAAUCAUCAUUGUAAAUGAGUAUUUUUUCACAAAAGUUUACUUUAUGUUUUAUAGAUAUUUGAUCUAACAUUUCCCUUCAGGAUUCUAGAUGUUAAUAUCAAAGAACUAACAUUUUUAACUUUUGCUUUCACUGGUGUGUAAAUUUGGACAAAUUAGAAACAUUGGUUUUGCUUAACUAAAAAGAAAUCUAUUCAGCAAUUUUUUAAGAUAAUUUUUUUAUUUAUAUAGUAACACAGUAAAUUUUAAUACUCGUUUAAUACGCCAACAUUAAGCUUACCAUGUAUUAAAUUAGAGACAUUUUGCUUUAGGUGUUUACUCUAGUAUCAAGUGUGUAAACAAUGGGCCCAAAGAGCAUUUAUCUAGGUUUGUGUACUAAGUUACUGGACGAAUUAUUAAUUGUAGUGUUGCAUAGCCUUGUGUUUUUUUAUUAUCUGAUUUCUUAAGACCUGUGUCAUCGUGAUGACCUACAGCCCCAUGGAUGGAAUAACUAAACACCUGACUGCAAAUAUGAAUCAAUAUCAGUGAAAUUUUUUUUUCAGGAAUGUCUCGGUGUUUUCGUAUGUUUACACACGUGUCAGACACACAGAUGAUGAUCAAACCAAAUGCAGAUUAUGUGGUCAGGCAUAUGGUCACUGUCUUGAACACUAUGUGCUUAAUUGUCCACUUAUUGAGGAAUAUAUAGUAUAAUAACAUAUGUGGCAUGUCAAGAUAACUUAUUAAUGAAAAUAAGAUACCAGACAUACUAAGCAAAUUUCCUAAAUUUCCUAAAUUUGCUUGUAACAGAUAAGUGAACUAUAGAUAUAAAUCUAAAUGUACACCUGUUAACCCUUUUGGGGCCUAGUUCCUAGGCCUUUUGUGUAUCCAUAUGUUCUAGCGCUACCCUCCACAGGAUGGAUGUGGGAGGCACAAUAAACUAGCCACUUCGGUGGCUAGUUUACACACGUGUCUAAGUAUAUGAAAACGUUCACUCAUUUCUAUUAUUUUUUUUGCCUCACAUUUUGUCUAAAUAUUGAGUUAAAUAGAUUAAGUCUCUUCUUUAAUACUUAAGUUCCAUAAAAAAAAUACCACGGGUGGGGUUAGAACCCGCGAUCAGAGCACUUAAGUUUUAUCAUGGUGCAGAGGGUACAAGUGUGUACCAUCGUCGUUUGGGGGUACAGCUGUGUGUCAUUGUGGUGCAGGAGUACAGCUGUGUCAUUGUGGUACAGAGGUAUCGUUGUGUGUCAUUGUGGUGCAGGAGUACAGCUGUGUGUCAUUGUGGU
Molecule: long non-coding RNA, 3539 nt
Organism: Cherax quadricarinatus
Lineage: Eukaryota; Metazoa; Arthropoda; Malacostraca; Decapoda; Parastacidae
Source: RefSeq, a predicted model, not a curated record